GUGACCUUCACACUCACCACUUUGAUUCCAACAGCGAAGUCGAAGUCGUGGUCAGGAGUAAGACUGAGCUGGGUAGAGAUAGUAAGGGGCAUGAGAGAUGGAGAAAGAAAGCCUCAGCUACCAUGAGACUUUGUUCAGUGCUAUGAUCUGAAUGUGUUUCUGCCAAAUUCCUAUGCUGAAAUCCUAACUCCCAAGAAGAUGGUACUACAAGAUGAUUGGAAGGUGAUUAGGUCAUGAAGGCUCUGCCCUUAUGGGAUUAGUGCCCUCAUAAAAGGGGCACCAGAGAGCUAACUGCCUUACCCUUUCUCCAUGUGAGGACGGAAUGAGAGGGCGCCCUCAUCCAAACACUGAAUCUGCUGGUGCCUUGAUUUUGGACUCUACAGCCUUCAGAACUGUGAUAAAUAAAUUUCUGUUUUUUAUAAAUGACUCCAUCUAUAGUAUUUUGUUAUAGCAGCUUGAAAGGACAAAGACGUUCAGUUUAAAUCAUGAAUACAGACCCAUUUGUACCAAAAAUUAACACAGCAACAAACCUUUACUGAACACCUAUGAUGGGCCAGCUUUUGGGGACAUAGCAGUUAAUAAAAUAGAAAACCCCCCAACCCCUAUGGAGCUUACAUUCUACCAGGCAGAUUCAGUGUAUUAAUCUCUAAUGUGCCAGUUCACUAUCUCCUUCCAUCUGAGUCUUAAAAGUAUUUUUUUUUUCUUUGAGACUGAGUCUCCCUCUAUUGCCCAGGCUAGAGUGCAGUGGUGCAAUCUCAGCUCACUGCAACCUCUCCGCCUCUCAGGUUCAAGCAAUUCUCAUGCCUCAGCCUCCCGAGUAGCUGGGAUUACAAGCACCCGCCACCAUGCCCAGCUAAUUUUUGUAUUUUUAGCACAGACGGGGUUUCACCAUGUUGGCCAGGCUGGUUUCAAACUCCUGACCUCCAGUGAUCCGCUUACCUCAGCCUCCCAAAGUGCUGAGAUUACAGGCAUGAGCCACUGUGCCCAGCCUUAAAGUACUUUUUUGGAUGUUGACUUUUCUUUCUUAGGUGAUAUAAUGUAGUAGUAGUAAUCUCAAUUUGUGGGUGGAAAUAAAACACUUAGAUCAUUCUGGUUUAUGCAGAAUCUCAAAUUUACCCACAGCCAACCUGCCUCCUCUUUUGGAAAACAGGAGAAAAAAAUCCGAGAAAGGGAACGCUGAUUGAAAUAAACAAAGAGGGCCGGGCGCGGUGGCUCACGCCUGUAAUCCCAGCACUU
Molecule: long non-coding RNA, 1236 nt
Filed under: Homo sapiens (human)
Lineage: Eukaryota; Metazoa; Chordata; Mammalia; Primates; Hominidae
Description: HSALNT0088030
Source: RNAcentral